UGUGGUCAAGCUACAAAGAGCCUACGGUGGAUACCUAGGCACACAGAGGCGAUGAAGGACGUGGAUACCGACGAUACGCUUCGGGGAGCUGGAAACAAGCGAUGAUCCGGAGGUCUCCGAAUGGGGUAACCCGGUAACUCUAACGCCAAUCCAUAACGUUAGAGGGCGAACCUGGCGAACUGAAACAUCUUAGUAGCCAGAGGAAAAGAAAGAAAACUCGAUUCCCUUAGUAGCGGCGAGCGAAAGGGGAACAGCCUAAACCAACAGGCCUGCCUGUUGGGGUCGUGGGACAGCAACGUGGAAUUGAGCGGCUAGACGAAGUAGUGGAAUGCUACACCAGAGAAGGUGAAAGUCCUGUAGUCGAAAGCUUAACAAUCCUAGCUGUAUCCCGAGUAGUCCGGAGCACGUGGAAUUCCGGAUGAAUCCGCGAGGACCACCUCGUAAGGCUAAAUACUCCUGUGUGACCGAUAGCGCAUAGUACCGCGAGGGAAAGGUGAAAAGAACCCCGGAAGGGGAGUGAAAUAGAACAUGAAACCGUAGGCUUACAAGCAGUCGAAGCUCGAUUUAACGAGUGACGGCGUGCCUGUUGAAGAAUGAGCCGGCGACUUAUAGGUACUGGCAGGUUAAGGCAAAAAUGCCGAAGCCAUAGCGAAAGCGAGUCUGAAUAGGGCGUUUGUCAGUAUCUAUAGACCCGAACCCGGGUGAUCUAACCAUGGCCAGAAUGAAGCUUGGGUAACACCAAGUGAAGGUUCGCACCGACCGAUGUUGAAAAAUCGGCGGAUGAGCUGUGGUUAGGGGUGAAAUGCCAAUCGAACCCGGAGCUAGCUGGUUCUCCCCGAAAUAUGUUGAGGCAUAGCGGUUGUGAUUAUAGCAGGGGGGUAAAGCACUGAUUCGGUGCGGGCUGCGAGAGCGGUACCAAAUCGAGUCAAACUCUGAAUACCCUGUGUACACACAGCCAGUCAGACGGUGGGGGAUAAGCUUCAUCGUCGAGAGGGAAACAGCCCAGACCACCAGCUAAGGUCCCUAAAUCAUCACUAAGUGGCAAAGGAGGUGGGGAUGCUCAGACAACCAGGAGGUUUGCCUAGAAGCAGCCAUCCUUAAAAGAGUGCGUAAUAGCUCACUGGUCAAGCGUUCCUGCGCCGAAAAUGAACGGGACUAAGUGAUGUACCGAAGCUGUGGACUUACUACGUAAGUGGUAGGGGAGCGUUCUGCAUUAGUUUGAAGCACUAGCGUAAGCAGGUGUGGACGAGGCAGAAGUGAGAAUGUCGGCUUGAGUAGCGAAAACAUUGGUGAGAAUCCAAUGCCCCGAAACCCCAAGGGUUCCUUCGGAAGGCUCGUCCGCGAAGGGUUAGUCGGGACCUAAGGCGAGGCCGAAAGGCGUAGUCGAUGGAUAACUGGUCAAUAUUCCAGUACUCAUCUUGGUUUGUGCAGAGGGACGGAGAAGGCUAAAUCAGCCGGAUGUUGGUUACCGGUUCAACUGUCCGAGGUGUUGAGGAGCGGCGAAAACGCUCUGAGCUGAGGCAGGAGUACGACCCACUACGGUGGGGAAGUGAUUGAUGUCAUGCUUCCAAGAAAAGCUCUAAGCACGUUAAGCCAAGAUACCCGUACCCGAAACCGACACAGGUGGGGGGGUAGAGUAUACCAAGGGGCGCGAGAUAACUCUCUCUAAGGAACUCGGCAAAAUGGCCCCGUAACUUCGGGAGAAGGGGUGCCACCGAGAGGUGGUCGCAGUGAAGAGGCCCAGGCGACUGUUUACCAAAAACACAGGUCUCCGCUAAGUCGUAAGACGAUGUAUGGGGGCUGACGCCUGCCCAGUGCCGGAAGGUUAAGGAAGCUGGUCAGCGCAAGCGAAGCUGGCGACCGAAGCCCCGGUGAACGGCGGCCGUAACUAUAACGGUCCUAAGGUUAACGAACGCUAGCCUUAGUAAAACUGAACCAUAUGCGGGAAAAUCCUCUGACAGCUUUUCACUACUCGUUCAGCGAGGCACUGAACUCGAAAGAGUUUUAGAAAUUAAAGUGCUGCGGUGCUGUUCAGUCAAAAUGUGAAAGACAUGGGGAUAAUCCGCAGGAAAGGCCUAGAAGUUUCUAGGAAUCCUCAGAGACUUGAUGUUCAGGUGUGACAUAUGAAUUUGGAUGCCCAGUGGAUUGUUGGUUUCGUCGAUGGUGAAGGGUGCUUUCAUGUGGGAGUCAACCCUCACUCUGAUAUGGCAACAGGCUUUCAGGUACUUCCUGAGUUUACUGUUGUUCAACAUCGACGAGAUGUGAAAGUUCUCUAUGCACUUAAGGCUUAUUUCAAUUGUGGUGUUGUUCGCGUCAAUCAUGGCGAUCGCAUGGCCUAUCGAGUUCGUAGCAUAGAGCACUUAGCAGACCGUAUUUGUCCUUUCUUUCUUAAGCAUCCUCUGAAAACGAGUAAGAACAUAGAUUUCUUAAAGUUCAGGGAUGUUGUACUUCUGUGUCAAACAGGUGCUCAUUUAACAAAUGACGGUCUAGCCAAAAUCCAAAAACUGGCAUCUCAAAUGAAUCGUGGUCGCACAAGGUAAAGUCCAGCUUUAUCGGAAACGGUAAAGAGUUACUGAGCGAAAUUCCUUGUCGGGUAAGUUCCGACCCGCACGAAAGGCGUAACGAUCUGGGCGCUGUCUCGGAGAGAGGCUCGGCGAAAUAGAAGUGUCUGUGAAGAUGCGGACUACCUGCACCCGGACAGAAAGACCCUAUGAAGCUUUACUGUAGCCUGGAAUUGGGUUCGGGCUUUGCUUGCGCAGGAUAGGUGGGAGACGUUGAAGUAUCCCUUGUGGGGGAUAUGGAGUCGCCGGUGAGAUACCACUCUGGCAAGGCUAGAAUUCUAACCUUCUGCUGUCAGCCAGCGAAGGAACAGUUUCAGGUGGGCAGUUUGACUGGGGCGGUCGCCUCCUAAAUGGUAACGGAGGCGCGCAAAGGUUCCCUCAGGCUGGUCGGAAAUCAGCCGUAGAGUGCAAAGGCAUAAGGGAGCUUGACUGCAAGACCUACAAGUCGAGCAGAGACGAAAGUCGGCCUUAGUGAUCCGACGGUUCCGCGUGGAAGGGCCGUCGCUCAACGGAUAAAAGUUACUCUAGGGAUAACAGGCUGAUCUCCCCCAAGAGUUCACAUCGACGGGGAGGUUUGGCACCUCGAUGUCGGCUCAUCGCAACCUGGGGCGGUAGUACGUCCCAAGGGUUGGGCUGUUCGCCCAUUAAAGCGGUACGUGAGCUGGGUUCAGAACGUAAAUCAUUGCGUCACUUCACAGUAAUGUGGAGCAGCAACCCGACUAAAAUCGGUAGAAUCUUAAUCAGUGACGAACGGCUGGUUAAGACAAUACCGAGGGUAAGCAAGAGUCUCGUGACAGAUGAUUUGACGCUGAGUUACAUUGCUGGUUUUUUGGAUGGUGAUGGUUGUAUUAGCCUGCAACUAGUGCGGCGUAAGGAUUACAUCCUUGGCUACCAAAUUCGUGCUAGUAUCACUUUCUUUCAGUCUUCUUCUCAUCGUUCCUUCUUGGAGUGGUUGAAGUCCAUUUUCCAAGUGGGGUUUGUGAGAGAUCGAAAGGAUGGCUUAAGUGAAUAUGCCAUUGUUGAUGCACCAUCUGUCCUGAAAGUGCUGCUGGCUCUAGGCAGCUACCUUAAACUCAAGAAGCCACAAUGUGAUUUAGCAAUUACUGUUCUGCAGGAGCUUGUUCAAUCACGGCGAUUAACGCCAGAACAAUUCCUGAAGCUUGCUCAGCAAGUAGAUCAAUUUGGCGAGCUGAAUGCUUCCAAAAGGCGUUCGAUUCGCUCUGAGCAGGUAGAACAGUUCUUGAGAUCACGACAACUCUUGAUCCCGUAGAGACUGAAGCCUAGGCUUGAGUUAGCCAUCAAGCGUAAGCUGAGAUGCUCUGAGACUGUCAGAGACAUCAAACGUCGGCUCCUGAUUCGUCAAUGGCGAGAGUCAGGAUGAAGAUAUAGUCCAUGCUCGUAGUGAUACGAGAUCAACAUGCGUGAGACAGUUCGGUCCAUAUCCGGUGCAGGCGUAGGAGCAUUGAGAGGAGUCCUCCUUAGUACGAGAGGACCGGGAGGAACGCACCUCUGGUGUACCUGUUAUCGUGCCAACGGUAAACGCAGGGUAGCCAUGUGCGGAGUGGAUAACCGCUGAAAGCAUCUAAGUGGGAAGCCCACCUCAAGAUGAGUGCUCCCAUGGCGUAAGCCAGUAAGGUCACGGGUAGAACACCCGUUGAUAGGCUCUCGAUGGAAGUCCAGUAAUGGAUGAAGUCUAGGAGUACUAAUAGACCGAGGGCUUGACCUC
RNAcentral lists this ribosomal RNA (4287 nucleotides) under Thermosynechococcus sichuanensis E542. RNAcentral describes it as "Thermosynechococcus elongatus PKUAC-SCTE542 23S ribosomal RNA". The stretch from base 4 to 3305 matches the Rfam family "Bacterial large subunit ribosomal RNA". The record is from RNAcentral. Lineage: Bacteria; Bacillati; Cyanobacteriota; Cyanophyceae; Acaryochloridales; Thermosynechococcaceae.